RNAcentral lists this long non-coding RNA (1424 nucleotides) under Ananas comosus (pineapple). Its description in RNAcentral is "long non-coding RNA (ACOM_LNC025851)". The record is from RNAcentral. Lineage: Eukaryota; Viridiplantae; Streptophyta; Magnoliopsida; Poales; Bromeliaceae.
AUUUUAAAUAGUCUUCGUGUGGAAGACAUUUGGAACUAAUAGGAUAUAUGUGAAUGAACGUGAAUAGAUGUGACUAAGAAUUGUUAGCUGUAUGAUGUGAAAUUAAUGAUCCUUAUACAUCUUAUAUCAUUGUGUGAGCGAGUGGAGGUCUGGUUGUUAAUUGUAUAUGUGCUACGCUGUACAAAUACAGAAAAGAUUAUGUCCGUUUAUUUUGAAAACUUCCUGCAUUUGUGGCGGGUCUGUUACGUUUCUGGAUCAAGAUAAAAAAAAAAGUAGGGCAGUUUUCCGCUAACUCUUAUUUAUAAAUAUAGCCCAAAUUCAAAUUGGAUUUCAAAAAAAGGACCUGGAGCGUGACAGUAAAAUAAAAUAAUUUGGCUAAAUAAUAAACAUCUAAAUAUUGGUUAAAUUGUAUUUUAACAAAUUAAUAAAUUAAUUAAUUGAGAAUACUAUAUAGGAUGAUGAAGAAUGACAUUAAUUAGUGAAUAACUAUAAAAAAUAAGUCAAUAUAUUAAUAUUAAAUAAAUUAUUUAAUUAAUUAUAUUUUUAGUUAAUAUAUUAAAUUGAUAAAUUAAAAUAUUAAUUAUGCAAAUAAUAAAAUAUUAGUUAAUGAUUGAAUAAGCGUAUCAAUCGUUAAUUAUUUAAUUAGCUAAUUAAUUAUAAAUAAUAAAUUACUUACUAAUUAAAUACUUAUUAAUUUUAUUAAGUCAAAUAAUUCAUUAGUUAAUUAUUAAAAAGUUUAUUGUAUUAAUUAAUUAAUAAUAUUUUAUAUUAUAUACAACUUAAUUAGUAGAGGGGUAAGAUAGAGAAUGAGUUAUUGUAUCUAAAAGGUGGAAUUACUGUUCUUUUCUUAACAGGUUAUUACGGAAUAACUCGUUAAGAGAAGAAUAGUAAAUUUUUAGUGUCAAUUGAGAGAAUAAGAGGAAUAAAUUUCUUAUUCCCUCCUUAUCCCUUCAACCAAACUUAGCCAUAAAGUUUUUUUUAAAAUCAAAAUUUGAUAGAAUUGUCUAAAUUUUUGAUUGAGUGAUGCAAAAUUCCCCCUUUUUUCUUUUUCUAAACCAUAGGCCAGCGAUUCNNNNNNNNNNNNNNNNNNNNNNAUCUUUUUUUUUUUUUUUUUUUUUUGUUUAGAUUAUAACGUACAGAACUUAUUUGAACUAUAGAUCAUUUUGAGUUGAUUAUCCAACCUUUUAAAACUACCCAACGUUUCAAUUUAUUUGUUUUGAGUCAGUUAAUAGUAUUUUGGUUUCAAAAUUUAAGCUAUUUGUAACUUUAAUUAAUUCUAGCUUCAAGAAUUAAUUGCAUGAAAUAAAUUUAUAAAAAUAAAUGUUGCAUUUAAAUUUUAAAGACGAAGUACUACUGGCUGAUUCAAAAAUCAAACAAAUCGAAAAAUUAAAAUUUUAAAAUAUUAAAUAAUCAUCUAAAAUGAU